This 377-nucleotide ribosomal RNA is filed under the name Salmonella enterica subsp. enterica serovar Paratyphi A str. SA19950809. RNAcentral describes it as "bacterial SSU rRNA". It matches the Rfam family "Bacterial small subunit ribosomal RNA", at positions 1 to 372 of the family's 1533-position model. The record is from RNAcentral. Lineage: Bacteria; Pseudomonadati; Pseudomonadota; Gammaproteobacteria; Enterobacterales; Enterobacteriaceae.
UUAAAUUGAAGAGUUUGAUCAUGGCUCAGAUUGAACGCUGGCGGCAGGCCUAACACAUGCAAGUCGAACGGUAACAGGAAGCAGCUUGCUGCUUUGCUGACGAGUGGCGGACGGGUGAGUAAUGUCUGGGAAACUGCCUGAUGGAGGGGGAUAACUACUGGAAACGGUGGCUAAUACCGCAUAACGUCGCAAGACCAAAGAGGGGGACCUUCGGGCCUCUUGCCAUCAGAUGUGCCCAGAUGGGAUUAGCUUGUUGGUGAGGUAACGGCUCACCAAGGCGACGAUCCCUAGCUGGUCUGAGAGGAUGACCAGCCACACUGGAACUGAGACACGGUCCAGACUCCUACGGGAGGCAGCAGUGGGGAAUAUUGCACAAU